UACGAAGGGUGCAAGCGUUAAUCGGAAUUACUGGGCGUAAAGCGUGCGUAGGCGGUACGUUAAGUCUGCCGUGAAAGCCCUGGGCUCAACCUGGGAACUGCGGUGGAUACUGGCGUGCUGGAGUGCGGUAGAGGAGGGUGGAAUUCCCGGUGUAGCGGUGAAAUGCGUAGAGAUCGGGAGGAACAUCAGUGGCGAAGGCGGCCCUCUGGACCAGCACUGACGCUGAGGCACGAAAGCGUGGGGAGCAAACAGGGAUUAGAUACCCUGGUAGUCCACGCCCUAAACGAUGCGAACUGGAUGUUGGGCACAUUACGGUGCUCAGUGCCGAAGCUAACGCGUUAAGUUCGCCGCCUGGGGAGUACGGUCGCGAGACUGAAACUC
This 381-nucleotide ribosomal RNA is filed under the name uncultured bacterium. RNAcentral's name for it is "bacterial SSU rRNA". It matches the Rfam family "Bacterial small subunit ribosomal RNA", at positions 524 to 902 of the family's 1533-position model. The record is from RNAcentral.